Molecule: ribosomal RNA, 224 nt
Filed under: uncultured bacterium
Lineage: Bacteria
Description: partial 16S ribosomal RNA
Rfam family: Bacterial small subunit ribosomal RNA
Source: RNAcentral
ACGCUCGACACCUACGGGAGGUAGCAGUAGGGAAUCUUCCACAAUGGGCGCAAGCCUGAUGGAGCAACACCGCGUGAGUGAAGAAGGGUUUCGGCUCGUAAAGCUCUGUUGUUGGAGAAGAACGUGCGUGAGAGUAACUGUUCACGCAGUGACGGUAUCCAACCAGAAAGUCACGGCUAACUACGUGCCAGCAGCCGCGGUAAUCUGAGGCGGGCUGGCAAGGC